RNAcentral lists this non-coding RNA (29 nucleotides) under Mus musculus (house mouse). Lineage: Eukaryota; Metazoa; Chordata; Mammalia; Rodentia; Muridae. The record is from RNAcentral.
UGUUUAACACAGACUGGCCUGGAAAUCAA